Molecule: ribosomal RNA, 760 nt
Filed under: uncultured bacterium
Lineage: Bacteria
Description: bacterial SSU rRNA
Rfam family: Bacterial small subunit ribosomal RNA
Source: RNAcentral
AGAGUUUGAUCAUGGCUCAGAAUCAACGCUGGCGGCGCGCCUAACACAUGCAAGUCGAACGAGAAAGCAGGAGCAAUCUUGUGAGUAAAGUGGCGUACGGGUGAGUAACACGUGGAUCAUCUACCCUCUUGUGGGGGAUAACUCUGGGAAACCGGAGCUAAUACCGCAUAAGUCCGAGAGGAGAAAGCAGCAAUGCGCAGGAGGAGGAGUCCGCGGCCGAUUAGCUAGUUGGUAGGGUAAAAAGCCUACCAAGGCUACGAUCGGUAGCCGGCCUGAGAGGGCACACGGCCACACUGGCACUGAAACACGGGCCAGACUCCUACGGGAGGCAGCAGUGGGGAAUCUUGCACAAUGGGGGCAACCCUGAUGCAGCGACGCCGCGUGAGCGAUGAAGCCCUUCGGGGUGUAAAGCUCUUUCGGCAGGGAAGAUUAUGACGGUACCUGCAGAAGCAGCUGCGGCUAACUACGUGCCAGCAGCCGCGGUAAUACGUAGGCAGCGAGCGUUGUUCGGAGUUACUGGGCGUAAAGGGUGUGUAGGCGGUCUUCUAAGUCUGGUGUGAAAUCUCCCGGCUCAACUGGGAGGGUGCGCCGGAAACUGGAAGGCUAGAGUGCGGGAUGGGGAGAGUGGAAUUCCUGGUGUAGCGGUGAAAUGCGUAGAUAUCAGGAGGAACACCUGUGGUGUAGACGGCUCUCUGGACCGCAACUGACGCUGAGACACGAAAGCGUGGGUAGCAAACAGGAUUAGAUACCCUAGUAGUCC